Molecule: transfer RNA, 85 nt
Filed under: Salmonella enterica
Lineage: Bacteria; Pseudomonadati; Pseudomonadota; Gammaproteobacteria; Enterobacterales; Enterobacteriaceae
Also listed under: 1 other name
Description: tRNA-Met
Source: RNAcentral
CGCGAGUUAGAGUUCUGGUGAACUCAGGGGGCUCAUAACCCUCGGCAAAUUGCCUAGAUUGGUUCGAUUCCAAUACUCGCUACCA